RNAcentral lists this ribosomal RNA (259 nucleotides) under Clostridioides difficile. RNAcentral's name for it is "partial 16S ribosomal RNA". It matches the Rfam family "Bacterial small subunit ribosomal RNA", at positions 1282 to 1533 of the family's 1533-position model. Lineage: Bacteria; Bacillati; Bacillota; Clostridia; Peptostreptococcales; Peptostreptococcaceae. The record is from RNAcentral.
CUACUCUCAGUUCGGAUUGUAGGCUGAGACUCGCCUACAUGAAGCUGGAGUUACUAGUAAUCGCAGAUCAGAAUGCUGCGGUGAAUACGUACCCGGGUCUUGUACACACCGCCCGUCACACCACGGGCGUUGGAGACGCCCGAAGCCGAAUAUCUAACCGUUUGGAAGAAGUCGUCGAGGGAGGAAUCAAUAAGGGGGGUGAAGUCGUAACAAGGUUCCUAUCGGAAGGUGCGGCUGGAUCACCUCCUUUCUAAGGAGA